Molecule: ribosomal RNA, 224 nt
Filed under: uncultured bacterium
Lineage: Bacteria
Description: partial 16S ribosomal RNA
Rfam family: Bacterial small subunit ribosomal RNA
Source: RNAcentral
GCACAAGCAGUGGAGUAUGUGGUUUAAUUCGAAGCAACGCGAAGAACCUUACCAGGUCUUGACAUCGGAUGCAUACCUAAGAGAUUAGGGAAGUCCUUCGGGACAUCCAGACAGGUGGUGCAUGGUUGUCGUCAGCUCGUGUCGUGAGAUGUUGGGUUAAGUCCCGCAACGAGCGCAACCCUUAUCGUUAGUUACUACGCAAGAGGACUCUAGCGAGACUGCCG